ACACCGGCAGCUCUAGUGGUAGCAAUUUUUAUUGGGCCUAAAGCGUCCGUAGCCGGUUUAAUAAGUCUCUGGUGAAAUCCUGCAGCUUAACUGUGGGAAUUGCUGGAGAUACUAUUAGACUUGAGAUCGGGAGAGGUUAGAGGUACUCCCAGGGUAGAGGUGAAAUUCUGUAAUCCUGGGAGGACCGCCUGUUGCGAAGGCGUCUAACUGGAACGAUUCUGACGGUGAGGGACGAAAGUUAGGGGCGCGAACCGGAUUAGAUACCCGGGUAGUCCUAACUGUAAACGAUGCGGACUUGGUGUUGGGGUGGCUUUGAGCUGCUCCAGUGCCGAAGGGAAGCUGUUAAGUCCGCCGCCUGGGAAGUACGGUCGCAAGACUGAAACUUAAAGGAAUUGACGGGG
This 401-nucleotide ribosomal RNA is filed under the name uncultured bacterium. RNAcentral describes it as "partial 16S ribosomal RNA". It matches the Rfam family "Archaeal small subunit ribosomal RNA", at positions 473 to 873 of the family's 1478-position model. The record is from RNAcentral.